RNAcentral lists this ribosomal RNA (429 nucleotides) under Chloroflexota bacterium. RNAcentral's name for it is "Chloroflexi bacterium partial 16S ribosomal RNA". It matches the Rfam family "Bacterial small subunit ribosomal RNA", at positions 355 to 776 of the family's 1533-position model. The record is from RNAcentral. Lineage: Bacteria; Bacillati; Chloroflexota.
UGGGGAAUAUUGCACAAUGGGCGCAAGCCUGAUGCAGCCAUGCCGCGUGUGUGAAGAAGGCCUUCGGGUUGUAAAGCACGUUCAGCGGGGAGGAAGGCGGUGAGGUUAAUAACCUCACCGAUUGACGUUACCCGCAGAAGAAGCACCGGCUAACUCCGUGCCAGCAGCCGCGGUAAUACGGAGGGUGCAAGCGUUAAUCGGAAUUACUGGGCGUAAAGCGCACGCAGGCGGUCUGUCAAGUCGGAUGUGAAAUCCCCGGGCUCAACCUGGGAACUGCAUUCGAAACUGGCAGGCUAGAGUCUUGUAGAGGGGGGUAGAAUUCCAGGUGUAGCGGUGAAAUGCGUAGAGAUCUGGAGGAAUACCGGUGGCGAAGGCGGCCCCCUGGACAAAGACUGACGCUCAGGUGCGAAAGCGUGGGGAGCAAACAGG